This 468-nucleotide ribosomal RNA is filed under the name uncultured bacterium. RNAcentral's name for it is "partial 16S ribosomal RNA". It matches the Rfam family "Bacterial small subunit ribosomal RNA", at positions 28 to 507 of the family's 1533-position model. The record is from RNAcentral.
GACGAACGCUGGCGGCGUGCUUAACACAUGCAAGUCGAACGGAAAGGCCCUGCUUUUGUGGGGUGCUCGAGUGGCGAACGGGUGAGUAACACGUGAGUAACCUGCCCUUGACUUUGGGAUAACUUCAGGAAACUGGGGCUAAUACCGGAUAGGAGCUCCUGCUGCAUGGUGGGGGUUGGAAAGUUUCGGCGGUUGGGGACGGACUCGCGGCUUAUCAGCUUGUUGGUGGGGUAGUGGCUUACCAAGGCUUUGACGGGUAGCCGGCCUGAGAGGGUGACCGGCCACAUUGGGACUGAGAUACGGCCCAGACUCCUACGGGAGGCAGCAGUGGGGAAUAUUGCACAAUGGGCGGAAGCCUGAUGCAGCAACGCCGCGUGCGGGAUGACGGCCUUCGGGUUGUAAACCGCUUUCGCCUGUGACGAAGCGUGAGCGACGGUAAUGGGUAAAGAAGCACCGGCUAACUACGUG